UAGGGAAUCUUCGGCAAUGGGGGCAACCCUGACCGAGCAACGCCGCGCGAGUGAAGAAGGUUUUCGGAUCGUAAAGCUCUGUUGUAAGUCAAGAACGGGUGUGAGAGUGGAAAGUUCACACUGUGACGGUAGCUUACCAGAAAGGGACGGCUAACUACGUGCCAGCAGCCGCGGUAAUACGUAGGUCCCGAGCGUUGUCCGGAUUUAUUGGGCGUAAAGCGAGCGCAGGCGGUUUGAUAAGUCUGAAGUUAAAGGCUGUGGCUCAACCAUAGUUCGCUUUGGAAACUGUCAAACUUGAGUGCAGAAGGGGAGAGUGGAAUUCCAUGUGUAGCGGUGAAAUGCGUAGAUAUAUGGAGGAACACCGGUGGCGAAAGCGGCUCUCUGGUCUGUAACUGACGCUGAGGCUCGAAAGCGUGGGGAGCGAACAGGAUUAGAUACCCUGGUAGUCCACGCCGUAAACGAUGAGUGCUAGGUGUUGGAUCCUUUCCGGGAUUCAGUGCCGAAGCUAACGCAUUAAGCACUCCGCCUGGGGGAGUACGACCGCAAGGUUGAAAC
This 555-nucleotide ribosomal RNA is filed under the name uncultured bacterium. RNAcentral's name for it is "partial 16S ribosomal RNA". It matches the Rfam family "Bacterial small subunit ribosomal RNA", at positions 355 to 900 of the family's 1533-position model. The record is from RNAcentral.